CACCCAGACUCCUACGGGAGGCAGCAGUGGGGAAUAUUGGGCAAUGGGCGCAAGCCUGACCCAGCAACGCCGCGUGAAGGAAGAAGGCUUUCGGGUUGUAAACUUCUUUUAAGAGGGAAGAGAAGAAGACGGUACCUCUUGAAUAAGCCACGGCUAACUACGUGCCAGCAGCCGCGGUAAUACGUAGGUGGCAAGCGUUGUCCGGAUUUACUGGGUGUAAAGGGCGUGCAGCCGGGCUGACAAGUCAGAUGUGAAAUCCCGCGGCUCAACCGCGGAACUGCAUUUGAAACUGUAGCUCUUGAGUACUGGAGAGGCAGACGGAAUUCCUAGUGUAGCGGUGAAAUGCGUAGAUAUUAGGAGGAACACCAGUGGCGAAGGCGGCCUGCCGGACGAUGACUGACGUUGAGGCUCGAAAGCGUGGGGAGCAAACAGGAUUAGAUACCCCGGUAAAU
Molecule: ribosomal RNA, 452 nt
Filed under: uncultured bacterium
Lineage: Bacteria
Description: partial 16S ribosomal RNA
Rfam family: Bacterial small subunit ribosomal RNA
Source: RNAcentral